ACAGAGAGGGUUUAGGGGGAGGGACUCCCUCCUCUCUGUCCUCACACUGACUCAUAGCAGAGUCCACACCUUCAUCUUUUUCUUCUCAUUUUGUAGAAUAUC
Etheostoma cragini (Arkansas darter) is the source of this 102-nucleotide long non-coding RNA. RefSeq lists it as uncharacterized. The transcript has 4 exons. NCBI's taxonomy places the organism in Eukaryota, Metazoa, Chordata, Actinopteri, Perciformes, Percidae. The record is from RefSeq and is a predicted model, not a curated record.